Molecule: ribosomal RNA, 569 nt
Filed under: Alternaria sp. E-000535736
Lineage: Eukaryota; Fungi; Ascomycota; Dothideomycetes; Pleosporales; Pleosporaceae
Description: eukaryotic LSU rRNA
Rfam family: 5.8S ribosomal RNA (bases 195-348)
Source: RNAcentral
CCGUAGGUGAACCUGCGGAGGGAUCAUUACACAAAUAUGAAGGCGGGCUGGAACCUCUCGGGGUUACAGCCUUGCUGAAUUAUUCACCCUUGUCUUUUGCGUACUUCUUGUUUCCUUGGUGGGUUCGCCCACCACUAGGACAAACAUAAACCUUUUGUAAUUGCAAUCAGCGUCAGUAACAAAUUAAUAAUUACAACUUUCAACAACGGAUCUCUUGGUUCUGGCAUCGAUGAAGAACGCAGCGAAAUGCGAUAAGUAGUGUGAAUUGCAGAAUUCAGUGAAUCAUCGAAUCUUUGAACGCACAUUGCGCCCUUUGGUAUUCCAAAGGGCAUGCCUGUUCGAGCGUCAUUUGUACCCUCAAGCUUUGCUUGGUGUUGGGCGUCUUGUCUCUAGCUUUGCUGGAGACUCGCCUUAAAGUAAUUGGCAGCCGGCCUACUGGUUUCGGAGCGCAGCACAAGUCGCACUCUCUAUCAGCAAAGGUCUAGCAUCCAUUAAGCCUUUUUUCAACUUUUGACCUCGGAUCAGGUAGGGAUACCCGCUGAACUUAAGCAUAUCAAUAAGCCGGAGGA